AACGAACGCUGGCGGCAUGCCUAACACAUGCAAGUCGAACGAGACCUUCGGGUCUAGUGGCGCACGGGUGCGUAACGCGUGGGAACCUGCCCUUAGGUUCGGAAUAACUCCCCGAAAGGGGUGCUAAUACCGGAUAAUGUCUUCGGACCAAAGAUUUAUCGCCUUUGGAUGGGCCCGCGUUGGAUUAGCUAGUUGGUAGGGUAAAAGCCUACCAAGGCGAGGAUCCAUAGCUGGUCUGGGAGGAUGAUCAGCCACACUGGGACUGAGACACGGCCCAGACUCCUGCGGGAGGAAGCAGUGGGGAAUAUUGGACAAUGGGCGAAAGCCUGAUCCAGCAAUGCCGCGUGAGUGAUGAAGGCCUUAGGGUUGUAAAGCUCUUUUACCCGGGAUGAUAAUGACAGUACCGGGAGAAUAAGCUCCGGCUAACUCCGUG
RNAcentral lists this ribosomal RNA (433 nucleotides) under uncultured bacterium. RNAcentral's name for it is "partial 16S ribosomal RNA". It matches the Rfam family "Bacterial small subunit ribosomal RNA", at positions 29 to 507 of the family's 1533-position model. The record is from RNAcentral.